UACGGAGGGUGCAAGCGUUAUCCGGAUUCACUGGGUUUAAAGGGAGCGCAGGCGGAUUGGUAAGUCAGUGGUGAAAGCCUUAAGCUUAACUUGGGAACUGCCAUUGAUACUAUCAGUCUUGAAUAUUGUUGAGGUUUGCGGAAUGGGUCAUGUAGCGGUGACAUGCAUAGAUAUGACCAGGAACAUCUAUUGCGAAGGCAGCAGGCUAAGCAAAGAUUGACGCUGAGGCUCGACAGCGUGGGGAUCAAACAGG
RNAcentral lists this ribosomal RNA (253 nucleotides) under uncultured bacterium. RNAcentral describes it as "partial 16S ribosomal RNA". It matches the Rfam family "Bacterial small subunit ribosomal RNA", at positions 524 to 776 of the family's 1533-position model. The record is from RNAcentral.